UUGAGAUGUUUAUUAGCAGAGGCAAUAGUCAAAAAACACCUGCACAGGGCAGGAACCCUUGCUUGCAGGAUUCUCCUGGAGGCACAGCUGAACUGUAUAAGCUCAGUGAUGUAGCCAGCAGCAGGGCAUCAGAUGAGAUGACCACAUGGCGAUGAUGAUUGUAGGAGCCUGGAGGUCGAGAGAGAAAGCUGGGGUAGAAAAUGAAGAGUCACAGCAUGCAGGUGGGAUUUGAAGGCUUGAGACUGCUGAAAGCACCUGGGACGCAAGUGCAGGCCCUACUUUGGAUUCUUGCAUAUUUUGAGCUGGAGUGAUGGAACCAAAUGAAAGAACAGUGAAAAAGUAAAAGAGGGAUCACUUCUGCAAACAGCCCAGAAUUCUGCAGCAAGCCAGAGGGCCAUGACAGGCGACUGAAUCAGAGUUGCUCCUGGGACAGUUCUUCAUGAACUCAUUUGGACUCUGGGUCCAGCUCACUAAUUCGGGGUACACUUGGGUUCUGGGCAAGUGAAGGCUUUUGUAAAAAUCAGCCUCUGAAUUCUCAUUAGAACAGCUUUAGACUGGUGGCCUUUCGCCUUCUGGGCCCUCCAGGGAGCCUAACUUUGCUAAUGCCUUGACAAUGCAAGCCUGUGUGCAUUAGCAGUUAACUGGCUACUCCAGCAAUCUGUAAGGCCAGCAAAGCAGAGAGCAGAAGCCUCGUGCUACAGAUAAGGUAACAGCUGUCAGCCAAUGGUGGGCCAUGUUGCAAUGCAGGCCUGGGGUUAAUUCCAUCAUCCCAGGCUGGCUGAAGCAGCAAUAAAAUGUCAAAAUGAA
Long non-coding RNA from Manis pentadactyla (Chinese pangolin), 807 nucleotides. RefSeq lists it as uncharacterized. Lineage: Eukaryota; Metazoa; Chordata; Mammalia; Pholidota; Manidae. The record is from RefSeq and is a predicted model, not a curated record. The transcript has 2 exons.